RNAcentral lists this ribosomal RNA (826 nucleotides) under Staphylococcus sp. Its description in RNAcentral is "bacterial SSU rRNA". It matches the Rfam family "Bacterial small subunit ribosomal RNA", at positions 57 to 870 of the family's 1533-position model. The record is from RNAcentral. Lineage: Bacteria; Bacillati; Bacillota; Bacilli; Caryophanales; Staphylococcaceae.
GAAAGCGGAACACAUAAGGGAGCUUGCUCCUUUGACAUUAGCGGCGGACGGGUGAGUAACGCGUGGGAAACCUCCCUAUAAGAGGGGAAAACCUCCGGAAACCCGGGGCUAAUGCCGGAUAAUCUUUAGAACCAAAGGGUUCUAAAGUGAAAGAGGUUUUUGCUAUCUUUUAUAGUUGGACCCGCCCCUUAUUAACUGGUUGGUAAGGGAAUGGCUUACCAGGGCAACGAUACGUACCCAACCUGAGAGGGUGAUCGACCACCCGGGAACUGACACACGGUCCAAACUCCUGGGGAAGGCAGCAGUAGGGAAUCUUCCCCAAUGGGCGAAAGCCUGACGGAGCAACACCGCGUGAGUGAUGAAGGGUUUCGGCUCGUAAAACUCUGUUAUUAGGGAAAAACAACCGUGUAAAUAACUGUGCACGUCUUGACGGUACCUAAUCAAAAAGCCCCGGCUAACUACGUGCCAGCAGCCGCGGUAAUACUUAGGUGACAAGCGUUAUCCGAAAUUAUUGGGCGUAAAGCGCGCGUAGGCGGUUUCUUACCUCUGAUGUGAAAGCCCACGGCUCACCCGUGGAGGGUCAUUGAAUCUGGGAGACUUGAGUGCAUACAGGAGUGUGGAAUUCCAUGUGUAGCGGUGAAAUGCACACAGAUGGGGAGGACACCUGUGGCGAAGGCGACUUUCCUGGUCUGUAACUGACGCUGAUGUGCAACAGCGUGAGGAUCAAACAGGAUUAUAUACCCUGAUAAUCCACGCCGUAACUAUGAGUGCUACGUGUUAGGGGGUUUCCGCCCCUUAAUGCUGCAACUAACUGAUUAAGCACUCC